GACCCAUUGCAUUUGCACAAGGUUUAAGCCUCCUCAAAAGGAGUAGAGAUGACUGAUGCUAGCAUACAUCUUCUGCUACCAGUGGAGGGACAAAUCUGUAACCUUGAAGAGUUUGCUCAAAGAUAUGACCAACCUUGAGUAAUUUUGCCUCAUCAAAUGCAGCUCCAAUCAUUUGAAAACCAACAGGAAGUCCUGCAGGCCCCUCUUCAACAAAUCCACAUGGCAAAACCAAUGCAGGUAACCCUGCCAAGUUAACGUUGACGGUCAUUAUGUCACCAGCAUACAUUGCCAACGGAUCAUUUUUCUUUUCACCAAUCUUAUAAGCAGCAGAAGGAGCAGCAGGAGAAAUUAGGAUGUCAUUUGCAUCUAAUGCAGCCUUGAAGCUUCUCUGGAUUAAAGUCCUCACCUGUUGAGCACGCUUAUAAUAUGCAUCAUAAUAACCAGCUGAAAGGGCAUAUGUUCCCAUCAAAAUUCUCAUUUUGACCUCAGGACCAAAUCCUUUUGCUCGAGAAUCCCCAUAAAGCAGAUUUAACUCAUCAGCAACAGCUUGCUUUCCAUACCUGACACCAUCAUAACGUGAUAAGUUGGAAGAUGAUUCUGAAGACGCAAGAAUAUAGUAAGCUGGUAAACCAAGGGAGAAAGAUGGCAAUGAUACCUCUGUCACAGUGCAUCCUAAUUCUUCUAGGUGCGAUGCAGCGCCACUGAUUGCAGAUUUUACCCCAUUAUCAACACCAUCAUCAAGAGUUUCACGUAUAAGACCAACCCUCAAUCCCUUCAAUGGUCUAGAUUCCACAAGAUUUGCAGAAGUGAACUGAGUUGUGAAAUCAGGAACCUCCCUUUUACUGCUAGUGGCAUCAUAUCUAUCAUGACCAGAAAUUGCAUGAAGAAGCAUUCCAGUAUCAGCGACUGAUGUACCAAAGCAUCCA
Molecule: unclassified non-coding RNA, 926 nt
Filed under: Hevea brasiliensis (rubber tree)
Lineage: Eukaryota; Viridiplantae; Streptophyta; Magnoliopsida; Malpighiales; Euphorbiaceae
Source: RNAcentral